RNAcentral lists this ribosomal RNA (1312 nucleotides) under Paenibacillus lemnae. Its description in RNAcentral is "partial 23S ribosomal RNA". It matches the Rfam family "Bacterial large subunit ribosomal RNA", at positions 1 to 1210 of the family's 2925-position model. Lineage: Bacteria; Bacillati; Bacillota; Bacilli; Caryophanales; Paenibacillaceae. The record is from RNAcentral.
UUGGUUAAGCUACUAAGAGCACACGGAGGAUGCCUAGGCGCUAGGAGCCGAAGAAGGACGUGGCGAACAACGAAACUGCCUCGGGGAGCUGUAAGCAAGCUUUGAUCCGGGGAUGUCCGAAUGGGGAAACCCGGCUGGUGUAAUAGCCAGUCACUCAUAACUGAAUACAUAGGUUAUGCAGAGGCAUACCAGGGGAACUGAAACAUCUAAGUACCCUGAGGAAGAGAAAACAAGAGUGAUUCCGUCAGUAGCGGCGAGCGAACGCGGAACAGCCUAAACCGAAGAGCUUGCUCUUCGGGGUUGUGGGACGUCUCACAUGGAGUUACAAAGGAAUGUAUUAGGCGAAGAGGUCUGGAAAGGCCCGCUAGAAGAGGUAAAAGCCCUGUAGCUGAAAGUACAUUCUCUCCGAGACGGAUCCCGAGUAGUGCGGGGCACGUGAAACCCCGUAUGAAUCUGCCAGGACCAUCUGGUAAGGCUAAAUACUCCCUAGCGACCGAUAGUGAAGCAGUACCGUGAGGGAAAGGUGAAAAGCACCCCGGGAGGGGAGUGAAAUAGAACCUGAAACCGUGUGCUUACAAGAAGUCAGAGCCCGAUUCUUAAGGGUGAUGGCGUGCCUUUUGUAGAAUGAACCGGCGAGUUACGUUCCCAAGCAAGGUUAAGGUGAGAAGCCGUAGCCGCAGCGAAAGCGAGGGUGAUGGCGUGCCUUUUGUAGAAUGAACCGGCGAGUUACGUUCCCAAGCAAGGUUAAGGUGAGAAGCCGUAGCCGCAGCGAAAGCGAGUCUGAAUAGGGCGAUUUUAGUUUGUGGACGUAGACCCGAAACCGUGUGAUCUACCCCUGUCCAGGGUGAAGGUGCGGUAACACGCACUGGAGGCCCGAACCCACGUACGUUGAAAAGUGCGGGGAUGAGGUGGGGGUAGCGGAGAAAUUCCAAUCGAACUCGGAGAUAGCUGGUUCUCCCCGAAAUAGCUUUAGGGCUAGCCUCGGAAAUGAACAGUCGUGGAGGUAGAGCACUGAUUGGGUGCGGGGCCCGCAAGGGUUACCAAGCUCAGUCAAACUCCGAAUGCCAUAGACUGAUUAUCCGGGAGUCAGACAGUGAGUGCUAAGAUCCAUUGUCAAAAGGGAAACAGCCCAGACCAUCAGCUAAGGUCCCCAAGUGUGUGUUAAGUGGGAAAGGAUGUGGAGUUGCACAGACAACCAGGAUGUUGGCUUAGAAGCAGCCACCAUUUAAAGAGUGCGUAAUAGCUCACUGGUCGAGUGACUCUGCGCCGAAAAUGUAACGGGGCUAAACACACCACCGAAGCUAUGGCUUGA